CCUACGGGAGGCUGCAGUGGGGGAUAUUGGACAAUGGGGGGAACCCUGAUCCAGCGACGCCGCGUGAGUGAAGAAGUAUUUCGGUAUGUAAAGCUCUGUCAGCAGGGAAGAAAGCAAUGACGGUACCUGACCAAGAAGCCCCGGCUAACUACGUGCCAGCAGCCGCGGGAAUACGUAGGGGGCAAGCGUUAUCCGGAAUUACUGGGUGUAACGGGAGCGUAGACGGUUGUGCAAGUCUGGAGUGAAAGGCGGGGGCCCAACCCCCGGACUGCUCUGGAAACUGUAGGGCUGGAGUGCAGGAGAGGUAAGCGGAAUUCCUAGUGUAGCGGUGAAAUGCGUAGAUAUUAGGAGGAACACCAGUGGCGAAGGCGGCUUACUGGACUGUAACUGACGUGGAGGCUCGAAAGCGUGGGGAGCAAACAGGAUUAGAUACCCCUGUAGUC
Molecule: ribosomal RNA, 443 nt
Filed under: uncultured bacterium
Lineage: Bacteria
Description: partial 16S ribosomal RNA
Rfam family: Bacterial small subunit ribosomal RNA
Source: RNAcentral